This 356-nucleotide long non-coding RNA is filed under the name Prunus dulcis (almond). RNAcentral's name for it is "sRNA ncRNA". The record is from RNAcentral. Lineage: Eukaryota; Viridiplantae; Streptophyta; Magnoliopsida; Rosales; Rosaceae.
GGCAGAGAAAAAUAUAGAAGACCUUCAUAUUUUCUUCAUAUUCCCAGCAAUGGAUUGUAUAGCGGCAUACUAAAGACCAGCUGGUACCUGCAAGAGUCCAGUCUCCAUCCUGCUGUGAUCAGUACUCUUCUCGAAGGUUCGGUGCUAAAGUAAUCUCAGCUGCUCAUCCGGCAGCCAGCAUUGUCAAACGACUCAAACCAACGAACCACCCAAGAGAGCACCAUGUCUUGAUAACAAAAGGGGAUCCUUUUAGUUGACUUUCACUGUUACUCAGCAUUUCUGCAGAACUUGUUGACUGAAUCUCUGAUAUGACUAUCAAUGAUAUUGCUUGAAAGUCCGACUGUUCUGCAAUUUAG